This 945-nucleotide ribosomal RNA is filed under the name Triticum aestivum (bread wheat). RNAcentral describes it as "partial small subunit ribosomal RNA". The record is from RNAcentral. Lineage: Eukaryota; Viridiplantae; Streptophyta; Magnoliopsida; Poales; Poaceae.
AUGUGCGAGCCAUGCCACCCGUCGCUGCCGCAGGUCGGCAACCUCUUCUCACCAAGCGCGUCGCCCACAUUCCACGGCGUCCACAACAACGAUCCUGUUUGCACCACACCCUACAGGAAGACGGCUCACGGCUGCUCCUUCCACUUCUCUUCGGUCACCGGGUACCUCUCGCGCGACACCUUCCACCUCCGCACCGGCCGAUCGGGCGCGAUCAGGGAGUCUAUUCCUCGUGUUGUGUUUGGUUGCGCACACUCGUCCACUGGGUUCCACAAUGACAACACCCUUGAUGGGGUGCUCUCCUUGAGCCACCUGCCACUCUCGCUCCUGACACAACUUGGUGGGCAUGCCAGUGGGAGGUUCUCCUACUGCCUCCCCCUGCCCACCGUGCACAAUCCCCAUGGCUCCCUCUUUCUCGGCGCCAACGUCCCAAGCCCUCCGCCGCAUGCCCACACGACCAACCUCGUCAUACGUCCCGGCGUCUCGGGCUACCACCUCAACCUCGUCGGCAUCACCCUAGGGUACAAGCGUCUCAAGAUCGACAAGCGCGUCUUCGACGGCCACAGUUGCAGCAUCAACCCAGCGGAGACCAUCACACAUUUCGCGGAGCCGAUAUACCUUGUCGUGGAAAAAGCAUUGGUGGCGCGCAUGAAGGAGCUAGGGUCGGACCCGGUGAAGGGGCCACCGGGCGGCCCGCUUUGGUUUGACCGGAUGUACAAAUCGGUGAAGGAGCAGCUCCCCAACAUGGCGUUUCACUUUGAGGGCGGCGCCGAGCUGUGGUUCACAUCGGAUCGGCUGUUUGAGGUGCACGGCAUGAACGCAAGGUUCAUGGUCGCCGGCCGUGGGUACCGCCGGACGGUGAUUGGCGCCGCACAGCAGGUGAAUACGCGGUUCACGUUCGACGUCCCCCGGGGGAAGCUGUCCUUCGUGUCGGAGGUGUGCGACUGA